RNAcentral lists this ribosomal RNA (253 nucleotides) under uncultured bacterium. RNAcentral's name for it is "partial 16S ribosomal RNA". It matches the Rfam family "Bacterial small subunit ribosomal RNA", at positions 524 to 776 of the family's 1533-position model. The record is from RNAcentral.
UACGAAGGGGACUAGCGUUGUUCGGAUUUACUGGGCGUAAAGCGCACGUAGGCGGCGCCGUAAGUCAGGGGUGAAAUCCUGGAGCUCAACUCCAGAACUGCCUUUGAUACUGAAGAUCUUGAGUUCGGGAGAGGUGAGUGGAACUGCGAGUGUAGAGGUGAAAUUCGUAGAUAUUCGCAAGAACACCAGUGGCGAAGGCGGCUCACUGGCCCGAUACUGACGCUGAGGCACGAAAGCGUGGGGAGCAAACAGG